UAAAAUCAGUCCUAUAGAAUCUCAAAAGA
This 29-nucleotide non-coding RNA is filed under the name Mus musculus (house mouse). Lineage: Eukaryota; Metazoa; Chordata; Mammalia; Rodentia; Muridae. The record is from RNAcentral.